CUUGCUUCUUCCCUCGCAACAGGACGGACGCUCAGAGGCAGUAGUGCGGCGCACGCACAUCGACCAGGCGCCGCUUUUUGUGAGCCAAUGAACUGCCCCAUUGGGAAAAAAUACAACUGCCUCAUAAAGGCUGCUCACAGCUACAAGCAAUGUGUGUUUCAUCUCCAGGCUUGCCACGUAGCAUGGCAAAGUGUGUGCAGUGGCCUUUACUACACCGUCCGCUGUGGUAGCGCAGCCAACAGAUGCAUUUGUCAUUGCGAUCCUAAAUACUCAGGAUGAAAUACAACGGCUGAUUG
This 296-nucleotide long non-coding RNA is filed under the name Dermacentor andersoni. RNAcentral's name for it is "uncharacterized LOC126534298". The record is from RNAcentral. Lineage: Eukaryota; Metazoa; Arthropoda; Arachnida; Ixodida; Ixodidae.